UACAGAGGUCUCAAGCGUUGUUCGGAUUCAUUGGGCGUAAAGGGUGCGUAGGCGGCGCGGUAAGUCGGGUGUGAAAUCUCGGAGCUUAACUCCGAAACUGCAUUCGAUACUGCCGUGCUUGAGGACUGGAGAGGAGACUGGAAUUUACGGUGUAGCGGUGAAAUGCGUAGAUAUCGUAAGGAAGACCAGUGGCGAGGGCGGGUCUCUGGACAGUUCCUGACGCUGAGGCACGAAGGUCAGGGGAGCAAACGGG
RNAcentral lists this ribosomal RNA (253 nucleotides) under uncultured bacterium. RNAcentral's name for it is "partial 16S ribosomal RNA". It matches the Rfam family "Bacterial small subunit ribosomal RNA", at positions 524 to 776 of the family's 1533-position model. The record is from RNAcentral.